AACUCGACUACAUGAAGCUGGAAUCGCUAGUAAUCGCGGAUCAGAAUGCCGCGGUGAAUACGUUCCCGGGUCUUGUACACACCGCCCGUCACACCAUGGAAGUCGGAAAUGCCCGAAGUCUGUGACCGAACCGAAAGGAAGGAGCAGCCGAAGGCAGGUCGGAUGACUGGGGUGAAGUCGUAACAAGGUACC
RNAcentral lists this ribosomal RNA (192 nucleotides) under uncultured bacterium. RNAcentral describes it as "partial 16S ribosomal RNA". It matches the Rfam family "Bacterial small subunit ribosomal RNA", at positions 1309 to 1500 of the family's 1533-position model. The record is from RNAcentral.